This 505-nucleotide ribosomal RNA is filed under the name uncultured bacterium. RNAcentral describes it as "bacterial SSU rRNA". It matches the Rfam family "Bacterial small subunit ribosomal RNA", at positions 355 to 871 of the family's 1533-position model. The record is from RNAcentral.
UGGGGAAUCUUGCGCAAUGGCCGAAAGGCUGACGCAGCGACGCCGCGUGGGGGAUGACGGCCUUCGGGUUGUAAACCUCUUUCAGCAUCGACGAAGCGCAAGUGACGGUAGAUGCAGAAGAAGCACCGGCCAACUACGUGCCAGCAGCCGCGGUAAUACGUAGGGUGCGAGCGUUGUCCGGAAUUACUGGGCGUAAAGAGCUCGUAGGUGGUUUGUCGCGUUGUUCGUGAAAUGCCACAGCUUAACUGUGGGCGUGCGGGCGAUACGGGCAGACUGGAGUACUGCAGGGGAGACUGGAAUUCCUGGUGUAGCGGUGGAAUGCGCAGAUAUCAGGAGGAACACCGGUGGCGAAGGCGGGUCUCUGGGCAGUAACUGACGCUGAGGAGCGAAAGCGUGGGGAGCGAACAGGAUUAGAUACCCUGGUAGUCCACGCCGUAAACGGUGGGUACUAGGUGUGGGUUUCCUUCUUGGGAUCCGUGCCGUAGCUAACGCAUUAAGUACCCCG